Molecule: long non-coding RNA, 1003 nt
Filed under: Salmo salar (Atlantic salmon)
Lineage: Eukaryota; Metazoa; Chordata; Actinopteri; Salmoniformes; Salmonidae
Description: lncRNA (ENSSSAG00000085737.1)
Source: RNAcentral
GUGCACUAUAUAUAGAGAAUAGAGUGCACUACUUAGAACCAGUAUAUAGAGAAUAGGGUGCACUACUUAGAACCAGUGCACUAUAUAGAGAAUAGGGUGCACUACUUAGAACCAGUAUAUAGAGAAUAGAGGGCACUACUUAGAACCAGUGCACUAUAUAGAGAAUAGGGUGCACUACUUAGAACCAGUAUAUAGAGAAUAGGGGGCACUACUUAGAACCAGUGCGCUAUAUAUAGAGAAUAGGGGGCAUUACUUAGAACCAGUGCGCUAUAUAUAGAGAAUAGGGGGCAUUACUUAGAACCAGUGCACUAUAUAGAGAAUAGGGUGCACUACUUAGAACCACUAUAUAGAGAAUAGGGUGCACUACUUAGAACCAGUGCACUAUAUAGAGAAUAGGGUGCACUACUUAGAACCAGUAUAUAGAGAAUAGAGGGCACUACUUAGAACCAGUGCACUAUAUAGAGAAUAGGGUGCACUACUUAGAACCAGUAUAUAGAGAAUAGGGGGCACUACUUAGAACCAGUGCACUAUAUACAGAAUAGGGGGCACUACUUAGAACCAGUGCACUAUAUAGAGAAUAGAGUGCACUACUUAGAACCAGUAUAUAGAGAAUAGGGGGCACUACUUAGAACCAGUAUAUAGAGAAUAGGGGGCAUUACUUAGAACCAGUCCACUAUAUACAGAAUAGGGGGCACUACUUAGAACCAGUGGACUAUAUAGAGAAUAGGAGGCACUACUUAGAACCAGUAUAUAGAGAAUAGGGUGAACUACUUAGAACCACUAUAUAGAGAAUAGGGGGCAUUACUUAGAACUAGUGCACUAUAUAGAGAAUAGGGGGCACUACUUAGAACCAGUGGACUAUAUAGAGAAUAGGGUGCACUACUUAGAACCACUAUAUAGAGAAUAGGGGGCACUAAUUAGAACCAGUAUAUAGAGAAUAGGGUACACUACUUAGAACCAGUGCACUAUAUAUAGAGAAUAGGGGGCACUACUUAGAACCAGU